Long non-coding RNA from Poecilia latipinna (sailfin molly), 718 nucleotides. RefSeq lists it as uncharacterized. The transcript has 3 exons. The record is from RefSeq and is a predicted model, not a curated record. NCBI's taxonomy places the organism in Eukaryota, Metazoa, Chordata, Actinopteri, Cyprinodontiformes, Poeciliidae.
CAAAACAAACCUCUUAGAGGAGCAUGCCAAUAGAAGGCGUCACUGCCGCAGCUGAUAAUGCUAAUAGAACGGGGUCUGUGUGAAUUCAGCUGAGAGGAUUUGAAACUGUAUGAAGAAGAAGGAAGAACGUUUUAUGAGCAAUGACAAAAGCCAUUCUUCUUCCCUAUUUGUGUCCUCCUCGACUAUAAAUGUCUUCUUUAGUGACAGACUAAGCGAGCUCAGCUUCGGUUCACUUUGUGCAGGGCGUGUGAUCGGAAACCCUAACAAACGUCCCACUUCGGAUUAGCUGGAGCCGCCUUGCAGCAUGUCAGAGUAAAGGCAGAACUCCAGAGUUGGCUGUGAUUUUUAAAGGCCAGCAGAUACCAAAAUGUCGGGCCAGGAGGCUGAGGGGAAACAGUUGGGUGCGUAGCAGCCUGACGUUCAGCCAGAGUGGAUAGGGAUCUACGGAGGCAGGGACGUGAUGUAGCGUUUAUUCAUCGCCGCCUCCGCUGCUGCCUAUUCUUCAUCACAAAUUCAGUUUAUUCCUUUCAGAUUAAAAGAAAGGCAGCUGAUGUAAGAAAGCCGGAUCACAGACAGACGAGACGUUCUAGCAUGUGGCAUUUAAUUUUACGGCGGGGCUUUGUAGCAGAUUUAGCAGAUUUAAGCAUGCCGCAGAAUACUUUUAAUUUAAUAGGAGAAAAGGAAAUUAAAGAAAAAUGUUACCAUUGUGGGACAUACA